UACGUAGGGUGCAAGCGUUAAUCGGAAUUACUGGGCGUAAAGCGUGCGCAGGCGGUGAUGUAAGACAGAUGUGAAAUCCCCGGGCUCAACCUGGGAACUGCAUUUGUGACUGCAUCGCUAGAGUACGGUAGAGGGGGAUGGAAUUCCGCGUGUAGCAGUGAAAUGCGUAGAUAUCUGGAGGAACACCGGUGGCGAAGGCGGCAUCCUGGACCAACACUGACGCUGAUGAGCGAAAGCCAGGGGAGCAAACGGG
Molecule: ribosomal RNA, 253 nt
Filed under: uncultured bacterium
Lineage: Bacteria
Description: partial 16S ribosomal RNA
Rfam family: Bacterial small subunit ribosomal RNA
Source: RNAcentral